GAAACCGACCUGGCUCACACCGGUCUAAACUCAGAUCAUGUAAAAUUUUAAAGGUCGAACAGACCUAACUUAAUAGCUUCUACACCAAUAAUAAAUUUUAAUCCAACAUCGAGGUCGCAAUCUUUUUUUUCGAUAAGAACUCUAAAAAAAAUUACGCUGUUAUCCCUGAGGUAAUUUAUUCUUUUAAUCUUCACUCAAGGAUCAUACACCUAUACACCAAUAUAUAAUUAAAGAAAAGUUUUCUUAAUUUUCUUAUCACCCCAACAAAAUAAAUAAAAAUAAAUUCAUCUAAAAUUCCUAAGACUAAACCACACCUUUACUCAUACAAACUCUACAGGGUCUUCUCGUCUUUUACAAAAAUUUAAGCUUUUUCACUUAAAAAUAAAAUUUUAAUAAAUUUAACUAGAGACAGCCACUUUUUCAUCAAACCUUUCAUACAAGCUUUCAAUUAUAAAACUAAUGAUUAUGCUACCUUUGCACGGUCAAUAUACCGCGGCCAUUCAACCACUCAGUGGGCAGGUUARACCUGAAAUCAUAUUCAACAGGCCAUGUUUUUAAUAAC
RNAcentral lists this ribosomal RNA (562 nucleotides) under Trigonopterus satyrus. RNAcentral describes it as "partial 16S ribosomal RNA". Lineage: Eukaryota; Metazoa; Arthropoda; Insecta; Coleoptera; Curculionidae. The record is from RNAcentral.